GAGCUCCGAGGACGGAGACGCCGUCGCCGGAACAAAGUCCCGGAGUCAGUUUCCGUCUCGGUCAGGAUUUUAUUGUUGUGCUUCGAACAUUACGGUGCUGAGCGGUCCGAUACAAAACAAAAUCGUUUUGGAAGUUAAAGCAUCACAGUACUCCCUCAGAAACAGCAGCAGACCCCGCCGCCCAGGUUGGGGGCAUUGCCGCGCGCUAAGGGAUGCCCGAGCUCCUGACUCCCACGGAAAGAAAAGACAAUACUUGAAGUAACCAGAUGUCAGAGAAAUAAAAGGAAAGCUGAUAAUUUGGCAAAGUUACAGCCUCCACAGAAUUAGAAUUCAAAUGGUUUCAGAGCCUGACUUUCCACCUCUGUGGUUGUUCUGUACCCACUGGACUGCAAGGAGGAAAGGCGGCUGCAAGUGCGGUGGGAAGGAAUGCGGUGAUGUACUACAGGUUACCAUCCCUAAGGGCGCUGGGCUCACGGCAGUAGCGCAGCCGCAAGUGUCCCGAGACAUCAAACACGAAGAAAAAGCUCGGCAAAGUUACUAAAGU
Molecule: long non-coding RNA, 544 nt
Organism: Hirundo rustica (Barn swallow)
Lineage: Eukaryota; Metazoa; Chordata; Aves; Passeriformes; Hirundinidae
Exons: 3
Source: RefSeq, a predicted model, not a curated record